AAGACCUUUGCGUUUUUGGAGCGGCCGAUGUCUGAUUAGCUAGUUGGUGGGGUAAUGGCCUACCAAGGCUUCGAUCAGUAGCUGGUCUGAGAGGACGGCCAGCCACACUGGGACUGAGACACGGCCCAGACUCCUACGGGAGGCAGCAGUGGGGAAUUUUGGACAAUGGGCGCAAGCCUGAUCCAGCCAUGCCGCGUGAGUGAAGAAGGCCUUCGGGUUGUAAAGCUCUUUCAGCCGAGAAGAAAAGAUUGCGACUAAUAAUCGCAAUUCAUGACGGUACCGGCAGAAGAAGCACCGGCUAACUACGUGCCAGCAGCCGCGGUAAUACGUAGGGUGCGAGCGCUAAUCGGAAUUACUGGGCGUAAAGGGUGCGCAGGCGGUUUUGUAAGUCAGAUGUGAAAUCCCCGGGCUUAACCUGGGAACU
Molecule: ribosomal RNA, 424 nt
Filed under: uncultured bacterium
Lineage: Bacteria
Description: bacterial SSU rRNA
Rfam family: Bacterial small subunit ribosomal RNA
Source: RNAcentral